GGAACAAGGCUGUGGGAAUGCUGGAGAUGCUGCUUCCGGAAAUGUAUGAAAUAUAGGUCCAUGCAGUGAAUGCUGUCAUGAGCCUCCAAGAUCCAUCUUGGGGACUGAAGGUCUUCUCUCCCUCCAUGGUCACACCUCCUUUUCAGAAGCAGCCUGAACCCAAUGACCAGCCCAUAUAGAAGUAUAAAGAUUCAAGAGAACAAUUGUACAACAUGGUGACUUUCAUUAAUAACAAUCUAUUGGAGUCUUGAAAAUCGCUAAGAGAGUAGAUUUUAAGUGUUCUUACCACAAAAAAUGGUAAGUACGUGAGGUAAUGCAUAUGUUAAAUAGCUCGAUUUAGCCCCUCCACAAUGUAUACAUAUUUCAAAAUAUCAUGUUGUACACAAGAAAUGUAUAAAAUUUUUAUUUGUGAAUGAAAAAAGUAAUAAAUACAACUGUGAGUGCUGCAAAUAAAGAAGACGGUAUAACUAAUUUAGGAGGGUGUCAGAGAGUCAUCUUCCAAAGUAAAAUAUGAACAGAUACUAUUUCAAACUAAAAUAUUCACAUAUAGCAGUAUUAGCAUUUUUUUUAGUUAAUAAUUUUUUUAAAGCCAGAAGGAUUGUAAGUCAUUGCCUCAUAGUAGCUGGCAAUUGGUGCAGUGGUCAUAGCCAGGAUCUGUUGUUUGUAGUAACCCUAGGAUAACAAUUGAGAGUUUUUCAUCAUGGUAACUUCAGUAAAAAUGAAGACUAGAUUAAAACAACAACAAAAAAAGUAUAAAGACCCAACAUGCUCCACAGAAUCGGUUGAGAUCUUUGAUAAGACUGCAGCACUGCUUGACUUUUCCCUCUGCCAAUCCUGCUUCCAUUCCUUCCCCUCCUAUUGGUAUAGAUCCCAAAAGGACUCCUAAUAAACCUCUGCAAGCCAACCUUCAUCUUGGAUUUUGUUUCCUACUCCCCUGCAACAGAAAUUCAUUUUGCUCCUGCAGUAAACUACAUUCUCCAAUCUAGCACUUAUUUAUACUAAGAUGAGAUUUGGCCUACAGCUUCCUUACUCUCUGCCUUAUUUCUGAUUCAGAAUAUGGACAGGGAAUACGGGCACUAUUUAUCGGACUGCUUCAAAAUCCCAAUGGCCAUUCUCAUUAGGAAAUCCAGGAAAGAUCAGUGCAUAGAGGCAGGCAGGGUACAAUAGUGUCAUUACCACCUGGGCCAUCAUUUAGGGUACAGGAGCCCUGCCAACGGGCUGAGAUCCAGGGAAGCCAGGGAUGGACAUGACCAUGGCAAGAGGGAAUUUAAUUUCAAGCUUUAUUCUCCAUAGAAGCAGCCUCACUGCAGAACACCUUUCAGCCAAGGAUCAGACCAAGAGUCAUUUGACAAUAAUAAGAGACCAGGUCUCUAAAUGCACCUGAUAACCUCACCAUCCUGGCCAAUCCCUAGCAGUGAGGUCCAGUGAGAAGAACACUGGGCUUUGUCCCAACAAGAGUGACCAAUAUUUGAUUGCCAAUUUCACUAUCACUAUCUGCAUGACCCUGAGCAAGCUUAACCUAACUUCGCUGAGCCUACUUUCCUCAUCUGUAAAAUAGAAUAAGAAGAACCUUGCAGAGUUGGUGGGAGGAUUAAAUAAGAUAAUGUAUGUAAAGCUCCUAGCACACAGCCUGGCUUUUAGCAACUCACAGCAUUAGUAUUUUUCACAUAAAGAGUUUUUAAGCUUCUCAACGUGAUGCGUUAUGACUGGUUGCUCCUAGCCAAUUCAUUUACCUCCCACUGUGCCAUUUCUAAAUAGGGAGACUAUUUACACUUGGACAGAACAAGACGUAGGUUUUUGAGCAGCUAUAUAGGGCAGGGAGCCAUCUAAUGAGCAUGGCUUAUUUUUAUCCACCACUUUUGCAUCUUAGACAUGGCUAUUUGGAUACAGGUCAGCCCUUCCAGUAAAAUAUUGUUCCUGCUCACCUGCAAUGGGUGAUUUAUAUAACUCCACUUGGCCUCAAAGGACAGAAAAGCAAUCAACUCCAAGUGGAGAGAGGUGUUACGGCACAACUUAAGGCUGUAUGAGAAUGAAAGACCAGAAGGUCAGGACUGGGAAUUGACAGAGAUAGUGACAUGGGCAGGACCAGGAUCUUCACUGGGACAGUGCCACCCCAGAAAUGAGGUCUUCUUGGUUCAGUUGCAAUUUGCGAGUCACUGGCCAAUACCCUAGAGUCCAUUGCAGGAAAGCAAUACCAGUGAUUCAGGGAAAUCUUUUACCCCAAGAGGGGGAAAUACUGGAAGAAAAUGUCAAAGAAAUUAGAUAAAUCGAUGCCCAAGGCUGCCAUCAGGAAAAACCCACACCCCUGCCCAGCCCUUUGGUAUCAUAUCCUUCAGGCUUCUGUUGGCAACAGAAUCUUUGGCUGAAGGAGCCACUGUCUGACCGGUCUGUCCCCAUAUCCCUGGACUCCAGCUUUGGAAAAAUGAGGAAAUGGGCCUGGCCAAGGGGAGCAAGAUAAGCAAGGGAGCAUCCCAAGGAGCCCAGACUCCCAGCCCCCACUGAGCUGGCCACUUGCUCAGGCUGCAGGACCCUAGGAUGUGACCUGACUGGCAGCCAGGAGCACAAGUCCACCAAGCCAUCCAGGGAGUGACCCUGCCAGCUCCCACGUCUGUUUUCCUCCCAAGCACACUACCACCAAGCAUAUACCUGGACAAAUCCAGGGGAAUUUUGAUUCUGUGUCCCCAACUUUCUUUCUCCUCAUUCUUUUCCUGUCUUUCCACCUUCCACCAUGACCCACGUGGUAGUAACACCGUUUCUGCAGAAACUGCUUUGAGGAAAAAAAAAGCCUGGAGCAGAUUUAUCCUCUGAAAUUGUGUUCUCCUGGAUGGCUUCCUGGUUAAUGCUCAUGGGAUUACAAAAUGGAAGGCUUUGUCUUGUGUCAAUAGCAUUCUAACAUCAAGAGAGGAUAAAGGAGGGGCUUAGGGGCUCCAGAGGGAUCUGGUGACUCUGACUCUUCUGAAAUUACAGCCCUGGCUGCCCACACAGGAGACUGAGCUCCUGCCCAGCAGCCAUCACAUGGUGAAACCAUCCCUAUAAACUUUAUAAAGUUAAUCAUGGAAGAAGAGGGGGAGAGAAAUGAAAAUAAAUCCAGCUUGCAGCACACUCAGCAUUCAUCAUGAGGCCAGCCUGCUCUCUAGCCCACUUCCUCAGAGCUGUUUGAUGCCUAUUGCCUCAGAAUCACAUGGAGCCUAGAUUAGAGUUCCCCAUCACUGCUCUAUAGAUAACAACUUGAACAUUAUGAAAUGUUAAUUUUUCUAUUUGAGAUAUUCUUUUAGGUCCUGCACACCAUGUGACACUACUGACAUCAGCUGGUCUGAAGGACCCCAUGAGAAACUGACUUCACAAAGAAUGCAGUUUCCACAUCCUAAUAAUUUCAUCCUCCUUACCCCAACCAAUCCACAACCCCAGUUUUCCAGCCCCUUGCCCUCCACAAUUAUCUUGUAAACCUCAGCUCAAAAAUCCUCCAGAAGAUGAAUGUGAUGGUCUACUCCCAUCUCCUUUCUUGGCUGCCUUGCAAUCAUUAAACUCUUUCUCUGCUGCAAA
Long non-coding RNA from Homo sapiens (human), 3543 nucleotides. RefSeq lists it as uncharacterized. The record is from RefSeq and is a predicted model, not a curated record. NCBI's taxonomy places the organism in Eukaryota, Metazoa, Chordata, Mammalia, Primates, Hominidae. The transcript is spliced from 2 exons.